RNAcentral lists this ribosomal RNA (392 nucleotides) under uncultured bacterium. Its description in RNAcentral is "bacterial SSU rRNA". It matches the Rfam family "Bacterial small subunit ribosomal RNA", at positions 27 to 420 of the family's 1533-position model. The record is from RNAcentral.
GGACGAACGCUGGCGGCGUGCUUAACACAUGCAAGUCGAGCGGUAAGGCCCUUUCGGGGGUACACGAGCGGCGAACGGGUGAGUAACACGUGGGUGACCUGCCCUCAGCUCUGGGAUAAGCCUGGGAAACCGGGUCUAAUACUGGAUAUGACUCCAUGACGCAUGUUGUGGGGUGGAAAGCCUUGUGCGGCUGAGGAUGGGCCCGCGGCCUAUCAGCUUGUUGGUGGGGUGANGGCCUACCGAGGCGACGACGGGUAGCCGGCCUGAGAGGGCGACCGGCCACACUGGGACUGAGACACGGCCCAGACUCCUACGGGAGGCAGCAGUGGGGAAUCUUGCGCAAUGGGCGAAAGCCUGACGCAGCGACGCCGCGUGAGGGAUGACGGCCUCGG